AUGGGCAGCGAUCUAACACACACGAGAAAAAGAAUGAGGCGUUACUACCACGGACCAGUCAUUAAGAAAACGAGAGCAAAGGUUCAGUUUGCAGACCUUCCCGAUGAUCUGCUGUCUACGAUUCUAUCAAAAUUGCCACUGAAGGAAGCUGCAAGAACCGUCAUUCUGUCAAGUAAAUGGAACGACGUGUGGAGAGUUUGCCCCAAACUGAGAUUUGAUGGCUUCACAGUGUGCAGUGACAGCGUGUUUGGGGGAGAACAGUACACUCAGAAAUUCAUUGACAAUGUUAAUGCAGUCAUGCAGAAGCAUCAGUGCAUGGUCGUUGAAGAGCUCGUGAUCAAAUUUGGGUUUGACAGCAGGGUACUGGGUCAUAUCAACACGUGGGUUGCUUUUGCCGUUUCAUCACGGAUGGAGAGCCUUGCCCUUGAUUUAGUGCCAGCCAACUCCCCGGGCCGUACUGAUCAGUACAGAUUUCCGGUUGAGCUGUUGGACGAUGGAAGCAUAUUUCGGCUUCGUCAUCUUCAACUUAGCUUCGCAAGUCUUGAACUACCCCCUCAAUUCAGUGGUUUCCCUAAUCUGAGAACACUUGAUUUGCACUUGCUACAAGUCACUCGAAAUGAUCUUCAAGAUAUGCUGUCAAAUUGCAUCAAUCUUGAGUGGUUCAGUAUGGUUAGAUGCCAUUUGAAUGAUGAACUGACGGUAGCACGUCCGUUGUCAAACCUGAGAUACCUGCGUGUUGCACACUGCAAGAUAACCAGGAUAGUACUCCAUGCAGUGGAACUCAAAACUUUCUUGUUCUAUGGGCGUCUGUAUCCUAUUGACCUUGGGCAUACUCCCAAACUGAAGCAUACAUUUCUUAAUAUCUAUUCCCUGUUAACUGUUGAGCAUGCUUUGACUGUGCUUCCCAAAGUGCUUCCAAGUGUUCAAGAUCUGACAUUGCAUGCUCAUUUUACACUUAAGAUGCCUUUGUUGAUGGAAAAUCCAUGCAAAUUUUCCCAGUUGAAAUAUUUACAUUUGAAGCUGUCAAUUGGUCAUAGGGAAGCUGGCAAGAUUCUAUCUUUGGCCUCUUUUCUGAGGGCUGCUCCUUCUGUUGAAAAGUUAGAAAUGCAUUUUAGUGUUUUGGCAUUCGCACAUUGUGUCUCGGAGCCUAUCAAGAGCCUUCCAUGGUGUCCACAUAGUUAUCUGAAGAACCUGUGUAUUACAGGAUUUUCUGGAACAACAGGACAACUUGAAUUUCUGGUGCAUGUUGUUGAAAAUGCCCCUGCUCUGAAGAUAUUGACGAUUAAAGGAGCUGACUCGAGUGGCCGUGAUCUCGAUAAUGAAGGGAAAAGAAGAUUUACUUUGAAGUUUCGCGAAUUGGAGAGGAAAUACCUUCAUGGGAUAAUUUCACCAAAUGUGGAGCUCCGUAUUAUUUAA
This 1416-nucleotide ribosomal RNA is filed under the name Triticum aestivum (bread wheat). Its description in RNAcentral is "partial small subunit ribosomal RNA". Lineage: Eukaryota; Viridiplantae; Streptophyta; Magnoliopsida; Poales; Poaceae. The record is from RNAcentral.